Molecule: ribosomal RNA, 524 nt
Filed under: uncultured bacterium
Lineage: Bacteria
Description: partial 16S ribosomal RNA
Rfam family: Bacterial small subunit ribosomal RNA
Source: RNAcentral
GACGAACGCUGGCGGCGUGCCUAAUACAUGCAAGUCGAACGAAGCUGUUUUAACUGGUGCUUGCACCGACUUAAACAACUGAGUGGCGAACGGGUGAGUAACACGUGGGUAACCUGCCCCAAAGCGGGGGAUAACAUUUGGAAACAGAUGCUAAUACCGCAUAACCACAGAAACCACAUGGUUUCUGUGUCAAAGAUGGUUUCGGCUAUCACUUUGGGUGGGACCCGCGGCGUAUUAGCUAGUUGGUAAGGUAAUGGCUUACCAAGGCAAUGAUACGUAGCCGAACUGAGAGGUUGAUCGGCCACAUUGGGACUGAGACACGGCCCAAACUCCUACGGGAGGCAGCAGUAGGGAAUCUUCCACAAUGGACGAAAGUCUGAUGGAGCAACGCCGCGUGAGUGAAGAAGGUUUUCGGAUCGUAAAACUCUGUUGUCAGAGAAGAACGUGUGCGAGAGUAACUGUUCGUGCAGUGACGGUAUCUGGCCAGAAAGCCACGGCUAACUACGUGCCAGCCGCCGCCGUAA